GGUUCAAUGGUCUAGUGGUUAUGAUUUCUGUCUUACAAAUGUAAUUACACAGAAGGUCUCCAGUUCGAUCCUGGAUUGAACCA
Non-coding RNA from Crucibulum laeve, 83 nucleotides. The record is from the annotation of a GenBank genome assembly. Lineage: Eukaryota; Fungi; Basidiomycota; Agaricomycetes; Agaricales; Nidulariaceae.